GAUGAACGCUGGCGGCGUGCCUAAUACAUGCAAGUCGAGCGAACGGACGAGAAGCUUGCUUCUCUGAUGUUAGCGGCGGACGGGUGAGUAACACGUGGAUAACCUACCUAUAGGACUGGGAUAACUUCGGGAAACCGGAGCUAAUACCGGAUAAUAUUUUGAACCGCAUGGUUCAAAAGUAAAAGACGGUCUUGCUGUCACUUAUAGAUGGAUCCGCGCUGCAUUAGCUAGUUGGUAAGGUAACGGCUUACCAAGGCAACGAUGCAUAGCCGACCUGAGAGGGUGAUCGGCCACACUGGAACUGAGACACGGUCCAGACUCCUACGGGAGGCAGCAGUAGGGAAUCUUCCGCAAUGGGCGAAAGCCUGACGGAGCAACGCCGCGUGAGUGAUGAAGGUCUUCGGAUCGUAAAACUCUGUUAUUAGGGAAGAAUAUAUGUGUAAGUAACUGUGCACAUCUUGACGGUACCUAAUCAGAAAGCCACGGCUAACUACGUGCCAGCAGCCGCGGUAAUACGUAGGUGGCAAGCGUUAUCCGGAAUUAUUGGGCGUAAAGCGCGCGUAGGCGGUUUUUUAAGUCUGAUGUGAAAGCCCACGGCUCAACCGUGGAGGGUCAUUGGAAACUGGAAAACUUGAGUGCAGAAGAGGAAAGUGGAAUUCCAUGUGUAGCGGUGAAAUGCGCAGAGAUAUGGAGGAACACCAGUGGCGAAGGCGACUUUCUGGUCUGUAACUGACGCUGAUGUGCGAAAGCGUGGGGAUCAAACAGGAUUAGAUACCCUGGUAGUCCACGCCGUAAACGAUGAGUGCUAAGUGUUAGGGGGUUUCCGCCCCUUAGUGCUGCAGCUAACGCAUUAAGCACUCCGCCUGGGGAGUACGACCGCAAGGUUGAAACUCAAAGGAAUUGACGGGGACCCGCACAAGCGGUGGAGCAUGUGGUUUAAUUCGAAGCAACGCGAAGAACCUUACCAAAUCUUGACAUCCUUUGACAACUCUAGAGAUAGAGCCUUCCCCUUCGGGGGACAAAGUGACAGGUGGUGCAUGGUUGUCGUCAGCUCGUGUCGUGAGAUGUUGGGUUAAGUCCCGCAACGAGCGCAACCCUUAAGCUUAGUUGCCAUCAUUAAGUUGGGCACUCUAAGUUGACUGCCGGUGACAAACCGGAGGAAGGUGGGGAUGACGUCAAAUCAUCAUGCCCCUUAUGAUUUGGGCUACACACGUGCUACAAUGGACAAUACAAAGGGCAGCGAAACCGCGAGGUCAAGCAAAUCCCAUAAAGUUGUUCUCAGUUCGGAUUGUAGUCUGCAACUCGACUACAUGAAGCUGGAAUCGCUAGUAAUCGUAGAUCAGCAUGCUACGGUGAAUACGUUCCCGGGUCU
This 1372-nucleotide ribosomal RNA is filed under the name uncultured bacterium. RNAcentral's name for it is "bacterial SSU rRNA". It matches the Rfam family "Bacterial small subunit ribosomal RNA", at positions 28 to 1381 of the family's 1533-position model. The record is from RNAcentral.